GCAGUGGCUCGGUGGUAGAGCUUCCACUUCGUAAGCGGGAAAACCUGGGUUCGAUUCCCGGUUGC
Molecule: transfer RNA, 65 nt
Filed under: Toxocara canis (dog roundworm)
Lineage: Eukaryota; Metazoa; Nematoda; Chromadorea; Rhabditida; Toxocaridae
Rfam family: tRNA
About the family: Transfer RNA (tRNA) molecules are approximately 80 nucleotides in length. Their secondary structure includes four short double-helical elements and three loops (D, anti-codon, and T loops).
Source: Rfam by way of RNAcentral